Molecule: ribosomal RNA, 351 nt
Filed under: Triticum aestivum (bread wheat)
Lineage: Eukaryota; Viridiplantae; Streptophyta; Magnoliopsida; Poales; Poaceae
Description: partial small subunit ribosomal RNA
Source: RNAcentral
AUGUAUCUCGCCGACGGCAAAAGUUGGCAACGCAACACGCAUGGUGCUGCGCGCGCUGCGGCGGAGCUUCAAUGCAUCACCGGUGUUGCUAUGGAGCAUCCUCGGGCCGCCGGAGCAUCAUCGGUGCGGCAAUGGAGCAUCACGGAGCACUGCCGGUGUUACGAUGGAGCAUUGCCAGGCCGCCAGAGCAUCAUCGAUGCUGCAAUGGAGCAUCCCGGAGCGCUGUCGGUGUUGCUAUGGAGCAUCUUCGGGCCGCCGGAGCAUCAUCGAUGCUGCAAUGGAGCGUCACGGAGCGCUGCCGGUGUUACGAUGGAGCAUCGUCGGGCUGCUGGAGCAUCAUCGGUGAUGUAA